GACGAACGCUGGCGGCGUGCUUAACACAUGCAAGUCGAACGGAAAGGCCCUGCUUUUGUGGGGUGCUCGAGUGGCGAACGGGUGAGUAACACGUGAGUAACCUGCCCUUGACUUUGGGAUAACUUCAGGAAACGGGGGCUAAUACCGGAUAGGAGCUCCUGCUGCAUGGUGGGGGUUGGAAAGUUUCGGCGGUUGGGGAUGGACUCGCGGCUUAUCAGCUUGUUGGUGGGGUAGUGGCUUACCAAGGCUUUGACGGGUAGCCGGCCUGAGAGGGUGACCGGCCACAUUGGGACUGAGAUACGGCACAGACUCCUACGGUAGGCAGCAGUGGGGAAUCUUGCACAAUGGGCGGAAGCCUGAUGCAGCAACGCCGCGUGCGGGAUGACGGCCUUCGGGUUGUAAACCGCUUUCGCCUGUGACGACGCGUGAGUGACGGUAAUGGGUAAAGAAGCACCGGCUAACUACGUG
RNAcentral lists this ribosomal RNA (468 nucleotides) under uncultured bacterium. Its description in RNAcentral is "partial 16S ribosomal RNA". It matches the Rfam family "Bacterial small subunit ribosomal RNA", at positions 28 to 507 of the family's 1533-position model. The record is from RNAcentral.